GCUGGGUGCAGUGGUGUGUGCCUGUAGUCCCAGCUACUUGGGAGGCUGAGAUGGGAGGAUAGCUUGGGCCCAGGAGUUUGAGGUGCAGUGAGUUAUGAUUGUGCCACUGUACCCUAGCCUGGGCAACAGAGCAAGACCACAUUUCUU
This is an unclassified non-coding RNA of Pongo abelii (Sumatran orangutan), 147 nucleotides long. It matches the Rfam family "Metazoan signal recognition particle RNA". Rfam says of the family: The signal recognition particle (SRP) is a universally conserved ribonucleoprotein. It is involved in the co-translational targeting of proteins to membranes. NCBI's taxonomy places the organism in Eukaryota, Metazoa, Chordata, Mammalia, Primates, Hominidae. The record is from Ensembl.